AAGUCGUAACAAGGUAACCGUAGGUGAACCUGCGGUUGGAUCAUUGAGAAGCGGAAGCGUUAGCGGAGAGCGUGGAGUCUCUGGGGGCAACCCCGAUAAGAUAAGGGAAAAUAUGGUGAUGUAUAUAAAUAAUAAAUAUAAUACAACUUUUGGCAACGGAUCUCUAGGCUCUC
This 173-nucleotide unclassified non-coding RNA is filed under the name fungal sp. RNAcentral's name for it is "partial internal transcribed spacer region". The stretch from base 1 to 46 matches the Rfam family "Eukaryotic small subunit ribosomal RNA", at positions 1786 to 1831 of the family's 1831-position model. The record is from RNAcentral. Lineage: Eukaryota; Fungi.